GUCCACGCCCUAAACGAUGUCAACUGGUUGUUGGGUCUCUUCUGACUCAGUAACGAAGCUAACGCGUGAAGUUGACCGCCUGGGGAGUACGGCCGCAAGGUUGAAACUCAAAGGAAAUUGACGGGGACCCGGCACAAGCGGUGGAUGAUGUGGUUUAAUUCGAUGCAACGCGAAAACCUUAACCCACCUUUGACAUGUACGGAAUUUGCCAGAGAUGGCUUAGUGCUCGAAAGAGAGCCGUAACACAGGUGCUGCAUGGCUGUCGU
Molecule: ribosomal RNA, 266 nt
Filed under: uncultured bacterium
Lineage: Bacteria
Description: partial 16S ribosomal RNA
Rfam family: Bacterial small subunit ribosomal RNA
Source: RNAcentral